GGCUGAAGGGCUGGUUAAUGAAGACACCCUCAUACCAUCAUUAAGGGAGCCCUAAGUGUGCACGCCACUUUCUGCUUCAUGUGCUAUCCAUGCUUCACAUGAUACAGUUUUCAGCUUGUUGUCACCCUGUGUGUCCAAGGUGUUUACUCGAGAUUAAUUAGUGGUCCUGGGGGAGACAGAGGAUAGAGAAGCAAAUGCAAAGAGAUGUCUGCCUAGAAAAUGCUGCAAGAAAAGCUACCUGUCCUAAGCAUCCUGUGCAUCGAAUGUGACAAAUUCCACAGUUUAUCAUUUGAGCACAUCAUCAAUGACUUUGCUCUCUAAAAAUCACAAAAGAAAAUGGUUUAAAUUUCAGUGUUAAAAUGAAUGUGAUGUGCAAACAGACGUACUGCCGUCUGUACUGCUUCCAUUAAGUAAGCUGGUGUGUGUAACUGUAACUGCUUUUGUGUUGCUGUAGAUAUACAAUUUUCAUAUCUACUAAUUAAGAAAUUGUAGAUGAAAAUAUAUUAAUUUGAAACUAUUUUAUAAUGCAAACAGACAUAU
Mauremys reevesii (Reeves's turtle) is the source of this 540-nucleotide long non-coding RNA. RefSeq lists it as uncharacterized. The transcript is spliced from 3 exons. Lineage: Eukaryota; Metazoa; Chordata; Testudines; Geoemydidae. The record is from RefSeq and is a predicted model, not a curated record.